This 73-nucleotide transfer RNA is filed under the name Camelus bactrianus (Bactrian camel). It matches the Rfam family "tRNA". From Rfam's summary of the family: Transfer RNA (tRNA) molecules are approximately 80 nucleotides in length. Their secondary structure includes four short double-helical elements and three loops (D, anti-codon, and T loops). Further hydrogen bonds mediate the characteristic L-shaped molecular structure. tRNAs have two regions of fundamental functional importance: the anti-codon, which is responsible for specific mRNA codon recognition, and the 3' end, to which the tRNAs corresponding amino acid is attached (by aminoacyl-tRNA synthetases). tRNAs cope with the degeneracy of the genetic code in two manners: having more than one tRNA (with a specific anti-codon) for a particular amino acid; and 'wobble' base-pairing, i.e. permitting non-standard base-pairing at the 3rd anti-codon position. RNAcentral also lists the same sequence under 2 other names. Lineage: Eukaryota; Metazoa; Chordata; Mammalia; Artiodactyla; Camelidae. The record is from Rfam by way of RNAcentral.
GAAGGUAUAGCUCAGGUGGUAGAAUGCAGGCUUAGCAUGCAUGAGGUCCUGGGUUCAAUCCCCAGUAUCUCCA